This 741-nucleotide ribosomal RNA is filed under the name Triticum aestivum (bread wheat). RNAcentral's name for it is "partial small subunit ribosomal RNA". Lineage: Eukaryota; Viridiplantae; Streptophyta; Magnoliopsida; Poales; Poaceae. The record is from RNAcentral.
AUGCUCUCUCACCCUCUAGACGAUAACGUCCCAUGCCCGGUACUGCAGUACGCCGAUGAUACGUUGAUCGUGCUGCCGGCGAUCGCGGAACAGUUGCACCACCUCAAGCAGUUGCUAUUGCAAUUCUCCUCGGCCACUGGACUCACUAUUAAUUUCCACAAAAGCACGUUCGCCCCUAUCCACGUAGACUCAGACACCUCCCAUAAUCUCGUAGCGAUCCUUGGUUGCGCUGUCGCCAGUUUCCCGUAGUCCUACCUAGGCUUACCCCUGUCCACCUCCAAACUGAACAUCUCGGCCUUCUCCUUUUUGAUCGAUAAAAUUGACCGCAGGUUGGCUGGCUGGCGGGGCCUUUUGCUCUCCUUAGCAGGUAGGGCAAUUCUAGUCCGAGCGGCUCUUCGUGCCCUACCCAUCUAUACUAUGAGUGCGCUGCUGCUUCCUAUAGGGACGCUUCAGGAAAUUGACAAACGUUGCAGGGCCUUCUUCUGGUCGGGGCAAGACAAAACCACGGGAGGGCAAUGCAAAGUGGCCUGGGACCUAGUGUGCGCGCCGUUCAUAAACGGGGGUUUAGGUUUCUCCUCUCUCAAACACAUGAAUGUGUGCCUACUUCUUCGACACCUGUCAAAGCUACAUGACUCUAACUCUACUCCGGCAGCAUCCUACCUAGUUAGCAAAUAUGGCUGGUCUCCCACUCACGACCUUUGGGGAUUCAUCUGCAUCGCCAGUGUGGCGCGAUAUUAUUAA